UGAGCAAUCUGCCCUUCACAUCGGAAUAACCAUUGGAAACGAUGGCUAAUACCGAAUAUGACUUCGGAUCGCAUGAUCUGAAGUGGGAAGCUCCGGCGGUGAAGGAUGAGCUCGCGGCCUAUCAGCUUGUUGGUGAGGUAAUAGCUCACCAAGGCGAUGACGGGUAGCCGGCCUGAGAGGGUGACCGGCCACACGUGGGACUGAGACACCGGCA
This 214-nucleotide ribosomal RNA is filed under the name uncultured bacterium. RNAcentral describes it as "partial 16S ribosomal RNA". It matches the Rfam family "Bacterial small subunit ribosomal RNA", at positions 118 to 332 of the family's 1533-position model. The record is from RNAcentral.